GCCGAGGUGGCUCAGUCCGGCUACGGCGCGAGCCUGGAGAGCUCGUGAGGAUUUUCCUCUCGGGAGUUCAAAUCUCCCCCUCGGCG
RNAcentral lists this transfer RNA (86 nucleotides) under Thermoplasmatota archaeon. Its description in RNAcentral is "Candidatus Thermoplasmatota archaeon tRNA-Ser". It matches the Rfam family "tRNA". From Rfam's summary of the family: Transfer RNA (tRNA) molecules are approximately 80 nucleotides in length. The record is from RNAcentral. Lineage: Archaea; Methanobacteriati; Thermoplasmatota.